Molecule: long non-coding RNA, 753 nt
Organism: Electrophorus electricus (electric eel)
Lineage: Eukaryota; Metazoa; Chordata; Actinopteri; Gymnotiformes; Gymnotidae
Source: RefSeq, a predicted model, not a curated record
CCUAGCCAUGCGCUCCCUCGUUUUGUUUCUGUUCUUCCCCGCCCUUGAAUUGUGUCACCUGUUUCUAGUUUCUUUUAUUGGCCUGCGUAUUUAUAUCUUUUGUUCCUAUGUUUCCCGCGUCGGUCUUUUUGUCGUCCUCUUCGUGUUGGAUUCCUCAGUAUGGCUUCUCGCCUGCCUGUUUUCGCAUUUGUUUCCGUUCUUGUAUUGCUGCUCUUUCAUAGUUUUACUUAUGUGUUUCCCCUUCUUGGUUAGCCUAGCUUUGUUUUUUUAAAUCAUGUAUUCUAGUACCCAGCCCUCUGAUUAUGUUUCUGUUUGUCCGUUUAAAAAACAAAGUUCGACUAACAGACUUGCAUCCUGCCCAGCUUGUCUCCGCGUUAUAUAAAGAUCGACUUUCGAAGAACGCAACGACUUGAACAUACGCGGUCGAGGACAUGCAUCAAUCUAACGAGGAUUUGCUCACAGCCUUGCGUACAGCCUAAAGUGUGCCAGGUUUGCUGUGCUGCCUGCUGCAGUGUGAGUCCCCUCCUGAAAUCCUUGCUGAGCCAGCUGCUUUGCCUGGGGCUAACUCAGGACAGCAGUUUGUAGGACCUAGGUCGGUGUCCACAGUCCUGACCCUCUGGGGGAGGGAUGCAGCCCUGGCAGCAGCAGUUGGUGCCACUCUGGACCUGCCAGACCCACUGCCGCCACCACCAGCAGCAACAGUUGGCAUCCCUCCGGAUCUGCAGGACCUGCUCGCAGCAGCUGCUAGCAUCC